This is a long non-coding RNA of Acinonyx jubatus (cheetah), 6421 nucleotides long. RefSeq lists it as uncharacterized. Lineage: Eukaryota; Metazoa; Chordata; Mammalia; Carnivora; Felidae. The transcript has 2 exons. The record is from RefSeq and is a predicted model, not a curated record.
UAUACAAAAUUAGCACUGAUAAAUGAAUGUAAUAAAAUUUCAGGAUACAAUAUCAAUAUACAGAAAUCUUGUAGUUCUGUACACUAAUAAGGAAGUAGCAGAAAGAGAAAUUAAGAAAAUAAUUGCAUUUAUAAUUGCAUCAAACAAAAAGAACAAAAUACCUAGGAAUAAACUUAACCAAGGAUGUGAAAGACUUGUACUCUGAAAAUUAUAAAAUGUUGAUGAAAGAAAUUGAAGAUGAUACAAACAAAUGAGAAGAUAUGCCAUGCUCGUGGAUUGGGAGAACCAAUAUUGUUAAAAUGUCCAAAGAAUCCAGAGAUAAUGCAGUCUCUAUCAAAAUGCCAACAACAUUUUUCAAAGAAAUAAUAAAAUAAUCCUAAAAUUUAUGUGGAACAACAAAAGAUUCCAAUUAACCAAAGCAAUCUUGAAAAAGAACAAAACCAAAAAUACUACAAUUCCCGGUUUUGAGAUAUACUACACAGCUGUAGUAAUCAAAACAGUAUGGUACUGACACAAAAAUAGACACAGAUCAUUUAAAAAAAAAAGAAAUCUCAGAAAUAAACCCACAGUUAUGUGGUCAAUUAAUUUACAACAAGAGGCAAGAAUAUGUAAUGGGAAAAAGACUAUCUCGUCAACAAAUGGUGCUGGGAAGACUGGACAGCUCUAUGCAAAAGAGUAAAAUUGCUACUUUCUUACACCAUACACAAAAGUAAACUCAAAAUCAGUUAGAGAUCUAGAUGUGAGACCUGAAACCAUAAAAUUCCUGGAAGAAAACAUAGGCAGUAAUCUCUUUGACAUCAAAUAUAGGGACAUUUUUCUAAUUUAUGCUUCCUUUGGCAAGGGAAACAAAAGUGAAAUUAAACUGUUGGGACUACACCAAAAUAAACAGUGAUGGAAACCAUCAACAAAACAAAAGGCAACCUAUUAACUGGAGAAGAUAUUUGUAAAUGAUGUAGCUGAUAAGGAGUUAAUAUCCAAAAUAUAUAAAAAACAUAUAACUCAACAUCAAAACCCCAAAUCACAAAUAAUCCAAUGUAAAAAUGUGCAGACAACAUGAACAGACUUUUUUUCCAAAAAGACAUACAGAAGGCCAACAGACACAUGAAAAGACACUCAACUUCUCUAAUCAUCAAGGAAAUGCAAAUCAAAACAAUGAGAUAUCACUUCACAGCUGUAAGCGUGGCUAAAAUCAAAAACAUGAGAAGUAACAAGUGUUGGCAAGGAUGUGGUGAAAAGCUUUAUGCAUUGUUGGUGGGAAUGGGAGCUGGUGUCACUGUGGAACACAGUAUGGAAGUUCCUUGAAAAAUUAAAAAUAGAGUUACCAAAUGAUCUAGUAAUUGCACUACUGGGUUUUUACCCAAAGAAAACAAAAAUACUAAUUUGAAAAGAUAUCUGCACUCUUAUGUUUAUUGCAGCAUUGUUUACAGUAGUCAAGAUAUAACAGCAGCCCAUGUGUCCAUCCAUAGAUGAAUGGAUAAAGAAGUGGUGUAUAUACACACAUGAACUUGCACACGCACAUACACACAGAGCUAUUACUCAGCCAUCAAAAAGAAUGAAAUCUUGCUGUUUGCAGGAACAUGGAAGUAUUUCAAGUGUAUAAUGCUAAGUGAAAUAAGUCAGAGAAAGCCAAAUGCCAUAUGAUUUCACUCAUAUGUGGAAUUUAAGACACAAAUAAAUGAACAAAGAAAAAAAGAGACCAACAAAAAACCAGAGAGCAAACUGGUGGUUUGCGAGAGGGAGGUGGGUGAGGCGAUGGGUGAAAUAGGUGAAGGAGAUUCAAGAGCACACUUAAUCAUGAUGAGCAUUGAGUAAUGUAUAGAAUUGUUGAAUCACCAUAUUGUAUAACUGAAACUAAUAUGACACUGUAUGUUAAUUAUACUUGAAUAAAAAAGAGAAAAAAAUAAAAAUAGUUACUCAGAAUGGUUAAAUGACUUGAUUAGGGUCCACUAAAGUUAGCAUUAAAUAAUAGAACAAGAAUUUGAAUUCAGAUCUUUUGACUUUAUGGUUGGAUCAUUUCCAUUAUAUUACAACUGUCACCUCCCUAAAAAAUUGCAGCAGUUAGUAUUUAUAGUUUACAGUUAAGGAAUUCUUUUGAUAACAUCUAAUUUUAUUCUUAUGCCAAUCCAAUAGAGGUUGGUAUUAUUAUGCACACUGAUCAUUUAAUACCUUAUUAAAUUAAAAAAUCUAUAUCUACAUGUUGAAUGUAGUACUGAGGUAUUCUGAAAAUAGUUAAUUUAUUAAAUGCAAGGAAUGCCUCUCCUAUUUCCUCAUUUACAUAUUUUUCCAUAGUUUUUAUGUUGUCUUCAUCUUCAUUAUUUGAUGCAUCACGUACUUCAUGCUUCUGUACAUCAUCAUGCUUUGUAGUUAUAAUACAUGUUUCUGUACUUCAACAGCUUUGUAGCUGUUUAUUCCCUGUCUCUAGUCUCUUUCUUCCUCCAAAUCAUCCUACACACAGCUGUUAGGAUUCUUUCUCAGACACUGCUUUCAUGUUUUCACUCCCACGAUCAAAAACCUGCAGUGACUCUCUGUUGCCUUUCUGAAAAAUCCAAAAAUUUUAACCAGCCUUCAGUCUUUACUGCUUUGUUAAUUCCAAUUUACUGUGUUCAUUUGUAGAUUCAUUACAACAUCUACUACAUAAUAUUUAAUCACUCUCAUUUCUCUAUUUGUUUUAAUCCCACCUAAAACACUUUAAUGUCCUCUGUACCCUUUUUUCCUACCCAUAUAUCUUUCUUUCCUUUGUGUCAUUGUGUAGAACGUUGUAGAGUACUCUAUAUAGGGAAGUCACUUGAAUGCUUUAAAAAAAAUUACAAUUAAUGUAUACAAUUUUCUAAAUAUAUAUUUAAAAUUUUAUUCUGUUAUUAUUUUUAUUUUAUGAUUUUGCCUAAUUUUUUAUGAACAAAAGGACUGGAACUAUAGUAAAUGUGCUUUGUAAAUAAUUUGCAGUAUUUUAUCGUAAUUUUUGUCAAAGUAAUAUUAACUCAUGCCUUUGAUUGUUCUGCUUCUUGUCUCCUGUCACUUCCCAACAGUUUUUUCUUGUAUACUCUGUAAAAAUAUAAAUAAUAGUGUUUGACUGUAGAUACUUAAAUAUUCUUAACAACCUGUCAUUUUAUUCUCAUGUUGGCAGCUGAUCUGUCUGCCACUCCACAUGAUGUUCCUGGUAAAGUGUAUAAUAUCUUGAAUAGGGAAACAUUUAGAAUAGUUAAGAAGUUGAAAUGUGCCCUAAGGAGAAUAGUGACAAGGGUAAAAGGGCAUUUUGGCUCCUGCUAUCAUGCUCUUAAUGUUUAAAUAAUAAUCAGAAACCAUUUGAAAGACUAAGAAGACUGCGAAGGAUUUUAUAGAACAAAGGGGAUAUUUCUUUACCGAUUUGUAAAUAGAUAGGAAGGUUUGGGAUGUCAAAGAAGCAAGAGAUGUUUAUUCCUAAAUCAAUACCACAAUGUUUUUGUUACAGACACUAACUUCUUAUCUGGUAACUUGAUUUCCUUGACUUUGUUCUUUUUUAGAAUCAUCUUGGCUAUUCUUGGGUCUUGUUUCUUCCAUUGAAGUUUAGAAUCAGCUUGCCAAGUUCUUAAAACUGUUGGGAUUUUGAUUUGCAUUGCAGUGAAUUUUAGAUUAAUUUAGAAUGGGCUUCUUUAUAGCAUUAAAUCUUAAUUUUUACAUAAGGUAUAUUUGCAUAUAAUUAUAUGUUUAACAGCUUUCAACUAAGUUUUGUAAUUUUUAAUUUUUCACCAUAAACAUUUUUGGUAGUUUUUAGUUGUCUUAUUUUUUUGUUGUUGAUACUGUAAAUGGUACUAUUUAAGAAAUAUAUUUUUUUCUGUUGCACAUGCAGUUGGCUUUAGUAUAUUGUUCCAGCAACUUAUUGAACUGUAUUAAUUUUAAUAAUUUGACUAUAAAUGUUCUUUUUUUAGUACCCAUGAAUCUACGAACAGUGACAGUUUUCUUUCUUUCAAAUCUUUUUACCAUAAAACUUUUUUUUACAUCUUCAAGAUCUUUCAUAUUUGAAAUUUUGGGGAUAAAAAUUGUCUUUAAAGACCAAAAUAAUUAAGUCUGGAGAAAUCCUUUAUUUUGUCCAUGAAAAAAAUGUGUUCUUGAGAGGUAAUGUGAUGUUUAAGGUCAACAGCUGUGUAGUAGCAGACAUAAUGCUUGAAUUCUAGUGUAGUGAUUAUAUUAUACUAUGUUGUCAAAUUCAUCAAUAUAAAUAAGUGAAAUAUUAAAGAGUAAGUGAAAGCAAUUAAUUAAAAAUAAAGAUAAAUGUUGAUAUGACCUAUGAAGCUGAAUUUUACAUGAUAAUAUACUUAAUUUAUUAUUGUAAACAAUAAUAACCUUAACAAAAUUACAGUAACUGAUCUUCAGAGCUUUUUCCUGUAAUAUGGUUUCUCUAGAGCUGUUCAUCUAUUUCAAUUUGAAGAUAACACAAAAUUAUUUUUAGGGGUACCUGGGUGGCUCAGUCAGUUAAGCAUCCGACUCUUGAUUUCGGCUCAGGUUAUGAUUUCACGGUUUGUGGGAUCGAGCCCGCAUUGGGCUCUGCACUGACAGCACAGAGCCUGCUUGGUAUUCUCUCUCUCUUCCUCUCUCUCCCUCCCUUCCUCCCCCCCCCCAAAUAAAUAAAACUUAAAAAAAAUUAUUUUCAUUUUUGUACCUCCAAUCAGGUGAACCUAUUGGUGUUUAAUAUAUAGUAAUUAUGUCAGAAUGUGCAAUAACUUGAUUUCCUGGGUAUUUGUGAUGGCCUUGUUAAAUAGUCUUGUUGGAUACUUGUUUUAAAAUCAGUUACAAACCAAUUUAAAAUCGGGUGCUUCCAAAGAUUGUGUAAAUAAUAAGGAAAUCACUCUUGAAUGGAAGACAAUUAGCACAGUAUUUAAGAGUACAAGCUGUUAGUAGAACUGUCUCUAUUUGCAGAUGACAUAACAUUAUAUAUAGAAAAUCCUAAAGACUCUACCAAAACACUGUUAGAGUUAAUAAACAAAUUCAGUAAAGGUACAGGAUAUAAAAUCAGUGUACAAAAAUCUGCUGCAUUUCUGCACACUAGUAACUGUCAGAGAAAUUAAGAAAAUCCCAUUUAUAAUUGCAUUAAAAAAUAGUAAAGUACCUAGGGAUUAAUUUAGUCACAGAGGUAAAAGACCUGUACAUUGAAAACUGUAAGACAUUAUUGAAAGAAAUUGAAAAACGCAAAUAAAUGGCAAGAUAUUCUGUGCUCAUGGAUUGGAAGAAUUAAUAUUGUUAAAAUGACCACACUACCCAAAGCAAUCUACAGAUUCAGUGCAAUCCCUAUCAAAAUUCCAAUGACAUUUUUCACGUAAGAAAAAACAAUCCUAAAAUUUUCAAGUAGACAAAGCAAUUUCGAAAAAGAAGAAAAAGGUAGAGGCAUCAUACUUCCCGAUUUAAAGUAUAGUGCAAAGCUAUAGUACUAAAAAACAUUGUGGUAUUGGUAUGAGAAUAAACACAAUCCAGUGGAACAAAAUAGCCCAGAAAGAAAUCUAUACAUAUGUGGUCAAUUAAUUUACAACAAAGAAGUGAAGAACAUAUUUCAGUUCAUUAGUGAAAGGACAUUCUCUUCAAUACAUUAUGUUAGGAACACUGAGCAGCCAUAUGCAAAAGAAUGAAACUGGAUCCACUAACUUACAUUAUUCACAAUCAUCAACUCAAAAUGAAUUAAAGACUUGAAUGUAAGACCUGAAACCAUAAAAAUUUUAGAAGAAAAUGUGUGCAGUAAACUCUUUGACAUCAGUCUUGCUGAUGAUUUUUUAAAUUUGAUACCAAAAGCAAAGGCAGCAGAAGCAAAAAUCAGCAAGUAGGACUGUAUCAAACUAAAAGCUACUCUUCAUCAAAGGAAACCAUCAGCAACAUGAAAACACAACCUACCAAAUGGGAGAAGAUAUCUGCAAGUCAUAUAUCUGAUAAGGGGUUAAUAUCCAAAAUAUAUAAAGAACCCAUGUAACUCAAUAACAAAAAAAAAAUCCAAUUAAAAAUGGGGAGAGGAUCUGAAUAGAUAUUUUCCAAAGAAAACAUACUGAUGGGAAAUAGGUAUAUGAAAAGGCCUCAGUAUUACUAAUCAGAGAAGUGCAAAUCAAAACCACAAUAUCACCUCCCACCUGUUAGAAUGACUAUUAUCAAAAAGACAAGAAAUAGCAAGUGGUAGUGAGGAUAUGGAGAAAAGAGGACUCUUAUGCACUGUUGGUAGGAAUGUAAAUUGGUACACCCACUAUGGAAAACAAUAAGUAGCUUUCUCAAAAAGUUAAAAGUAGAACUAACAUAGGAUCCAGCAAUUAGAUUUCUUGGUACUUAUCCAAAGGAAAUGAAAACACUAACUUGAAAAGAUAUCUGUACCCCCAUGUUCAUUACACUAUUAUUUACACUACUGAGAUGUGGAAACAACUAAGUGUUAAUGGAGGAAUGGAUGGAUGGAUGGAUGGAUGGAUGGAUGGAU